RNAcentral lists this small RNA (29 nucleotides) under Bombyx mori (domestic silkworm). RNAcentral's name for it is "ovarian small RNA-7233". Lineage: Eukaryota; Metazoa; Arthropoda; Insecta; Lepidoptera; Bombycidae. The record is from RNAcentral.
UCCAUGGUCAUAUGUUUCACCGGGUGCGG